RNAcentral lists this ribosomal RNA (438 nucleotides) under uncultured Glomus. RNAcentral describes it as "SSU rRNA". It matches the Rfam family "Eukaryotic small subunit ribosomal RNA", at positions 569 to 1013 of the family's 1831-position model. The record is from RNAcentral. Lineage: Eukaryota; Fungi; Glomeromycota; Glomeromycetes; Glomerales; Glomeraceae.
AGCAGCCGCGGUAAUUCCAGCUCCAACAGCGUAUAUUAAAGUUGUUGCAGUUAAAGAGCUCGUAGUUGAAUUUCGGGGUCAGUAGAUUGGUCGUGCCACUGGUAUGUACUGGUCUCACUGGCUCCUCCUUCCUGAUGAACCGUAAUGCCAUUAAUUUGGUGUUGCGGGGAGACUGGACUGUUACUUUGAAAAAUUGAGUGUUUAAAGCAGGCUAACGCUUGAAUACAUUAGCAUGGAAUAAUGAAAUAGGACGUUCGAUCUUAUUUUGUUGGUUUCUAAGAUUGACGUAAUGAUUAAUAGGGAUAGUUGGGGGCAUUAGUAUUCAAUUGUCAGAGGUGAAAUUCUUGGAUUUAUUGAAGACUAACUACUGCGAAAGCAUUUGCCAAGGAUGUUUUCAUUAAUCAAGAACGAAAGUUAGGGGAUCGAAGACGAUCAGAU